CCAACAUGGCGGGUGAGUCCACGCUCCCUCAGUGUCGCCGGGGAAGCUCAGGGGAUAGGCUGCCACAAUGCCUUCGCUCGCGGCUGAUGGUGUAUCUGGCAUAGCUAAAAGCUCCCUCCAGCACUAUGUUAUUGAUAGUAAUGAAGCUCUGGAAUUUAAGCUAGUGCGGGCAGCAGCUGACCUCGAAGAUGAGGAGACUACAUUCAAACCUGGCAUGUCUCAUCAGGUUUACGGUGACAG
Molecule: long non-coding RNA, 240 nt
Organism: Penaeus indicus
Lineage: Eukaryota; Metazoa; Arthropoda; Malacostraca; Decapoda; Penaeidae
Exons: 3
Source: RefSeq, a predicted model, not a curated record